GUGAUCCUUAUCUCACUACAAAUGACAUUCUGCUUGGCACCGUGGACAGACCAAAAGCUGCCCAGCCCUUGUAUGCUGCCCUUGAAGACCUCUACUCUAGUCUAAGGUGUUAGUUGCCACUUGCCAGGCUCUCUGAUGUGGCCUGUCUCUACUGGAUUAUGGAUGUGAAGUCUCUAUCCAAUCUAAAGUCUCUAUUUGCGUGUGCCAUUUAUCUGUCAGCGGUUGAGAUUUGCGCUUGCUCCUUAACUUGAUUCCCCCGCUCUGAAUUGUAUAGUGGCACUAAUUUUGUUGGGUAUAU
RNAcentral lists this unclassified non-coding RNA (298 nucleotides) under Hevea brasiliensis (rubber tree). Lineage: Eukaryota; Viridiplantae; Streptophyta; Magnoliopsida; Malpighiales; Euphorbiaceae. The record is from RNAcentral.